This 465-nucleotide ribosomal RNA is filed under the name uncultured bacterium. RNAcentral describes it as "partial 16S ribosomal RNA". It matches the Rfam family "Bacterial small subunit ribosomal RNA", at positions 28 to 507 of the family's 1533-position model. The record is from RNAcentral.
GACGAACGCUGGCGGCGUGCUUAACACAUGCAAGUCGAACGGAAAGGCCCCUUUGGGGGUCCUCGAGUGGCGAACGGGUGAGUAACACGUGAGUAACCUGCCCUUGACUUCGGGAUUACUUCAGGAAACUGGGGCCAAUACCGGAUAGGAAUCCUUGCUGCAUGGUGGGGGUUGGAAAGCUUCGGCGGUUUUGGAUGGACUGGCGGCUUAUCAGCUUGUUGGUGGGGUAGUGGCUUACCAAGGCUUUGAAGGGUAGCAGGACUGAGAGGGCGACCGGCCACAUUGGGACUGAGGGGCGGCAGAGACUCCUACGGGAGGCAGAAGUGGGAAAGAUUGCACAAUGGGCGGAGGCCGGAUGCAGCAAGGCCGCGGGCGGGAUGACGGCCUUAGGGUUGAAAAACGCUUUCAGCAGGAGCGAAGCUUGUGGUGACGGUACCUGCAGAAGAAGCACCGGCUAACUACGUG